GACGAACGCUGGCGGCGUGCCUAAUACAUGCAAGUAGAACGCUGAAGCGAGGAGCUUACUCUUCUUGGAUGAGUUGCGAACGGGUGAGUAACGCGUAGGUAACCUGCCUUGUAGCGGGGGAUAACUAUUGGAAACGAUAGCUAAUACCGCAUAACAAUGGAUGACACAUGUCAUUUAUUUGAAAGGGGCAAUUGCUCCACUACAAGAUGGACCUGCGUUGUAUUAGCUAGUAGGUGAGGUAAUGGCUCACCUAGGCGACGAUACAUAGCCGACCUGAGAGGGUGAUCGGCCAACCUGGGACUGAGACACGGCCCAGACCCCUACGGGAGGCAGCAGUAGGGAAUCUUCGGCAAUGGGGGCAACCCUGACCGAGCAACGCCGCGUGAGUGAAGAAGGGUUUCGGAUCGUAAAGCUCUGUUGUAAGUCAAGAACGGGUGUGAGAGUGGAAAGUUCACACUGUGACGGUAGCUUACCAGAAAGGGACGGCUAACUACGUG
This 497-nucleotide ribosomal RNA is filed under the name uncultured bacterium. RNAcentral's name for it is "partial 16S ribosomal RNA". It matches the Rfam family "Bacterial small subunit ribosomal RNA", at positions 28 to 507 of the family's 1533-position model. The record is from RNAcentral.